RNAcentral lists this ribosomal RNA (427 nucleotides) under uncultured Erwinia sp. RNAcentral describes it as "bacterial SSU rRNA". It matches the Rfam family "Bacterial small subunit ribosomal RNA", at positions 355 to 774 of the family's 1533-position model. Lineage: Bacteria; Pseudomonadati; Pseudomonadota; Gammaproteobacteria; Enterobacterales; Erwiniaceae. The record is from RNAcentral.
UGGGGAAUAUUGCACAAUGGGCGCAAGCCUGAUGCAGCCAUGCCGCGUGUAUGAAGAAGGCCUUCGGGUUGUAAAGUACUUUCAGCGGGGAGGAAGGGUUGCUGGUUAAUAACCAGUGACAUUGACGUUACCCGCAGAAGAAGCACCGGCUAACUCCGUGCCAGCAGCCGCGGUAAUACGGAGGGUGCAAGCGUUAAUCGGAAUUACUGGGCGUAAAGCGCACGCAGGCGGUCUGUCAAGUCAGAUGUGAAAUCCCCGGGCUUAACCUGGGAACUGCAUUUGAAACUGGCAGACUGGAGUCUUGUAGAGGGGGGUAGAAUUCCAGGUGUAGCGGUGAAAUGCGUAGAGAUCUGGAGGAAUACCGGUGGCGAAGGCGGCCCCCUGGACAAAGACUGACGCUCAGGUGCGAAAGCGUGGGGAGCAAACA